GAUGAAGAACGCAGCGAAAUGCGAUACGUAAUGUGAAUUGCAGAAUUCAGUGAAUCAUCGAAUCUUUGAACGCAUAUUGCGCUCUUUGGUAUUCCGAAGAGCAUGCUUGUUUGAGUAUCAGUAAACACCUCAAAGCUUUUGGAUUUUUUAAUCGAAAAGCUUUGGACUUGAGCAAUCCCAACACCAAUCUUUUUGAGAUCGGUGGCGGGUUGCUUGAAAUGCAGGUGCAGCUGGACAUUCUCCUGAGCUAAAAGCAUAUUCAUUUAGUCCCGUCAAACGGAUUAUUACUUUUGCUGCAGCUAACACAAAGGGAGUUUGACCGUAUUGGCUGACUGAUGCAGGAUUUCACAAGGGUCGGCAACGAUUCUUGUUAAACUCGAUCUCAAAUCAAGUAAGACUACCCGCUGAACUUAAGCAUAUCAAUAAGCGGAGGA
Molecule: unclassified non-coding RNA, 434 nt
Filed under: soil metagenome
Description: partial contains 5.8S ribosomal RNA, internal transcribed spacer 2, and large subunit ribosomal RNA
Rfam family: 5.8S ribosomal RNA (bases 1-120)
Source: RNAcentral